AAGUCGUAACAAGGUUUCCGUAGGUGAACCUGCGGAAGGAUCAUUAACACGUAUCCAACGUUAAACAACCCUGUGAACUUUCAACGCUCUUGUAGCCCCAGAGGAACAGCAAUCCCGGUAAAUCAAUGGGGACCUCUGUCCAAAAGGUAUCAAGUUACAAUCGAGCAGAGCAGUGGCAUGGUUUCCCUAAGCAGUGCAGAAGGAUCCACUGAGUAAGGAUAACGCAUCACGGUUGCCAGAGGUCGAUCACCGGCCGGCAGACAUGUCACAGGGCGCGCGCGCCCCCUCAUUCACCCCUUGCCCUCUCAAGCCUCGCGGAAACGCCGGGCAUAAAAACCGAACAACUGUUAACAAUGGAUAUCUUGGUUCUC
RNAcentral lists this unclassified non-coding RNA (371 nucleotides) under fungal sp. Its description in RNAcentral is "partial internal transcribed spacer region". The stretch from base 1 to 46 matches the Rfam family "Eukaryotic small subunit ribosomal RNA", at positions 1786 to 1831 of the family's 1831-position model. The record is from RNAcentral. Lineage: Eukaryota; Fungi.